RNAcentral lists this ribosomal RNA (170 nucleotides) under uncultured bacterium. Its description in RNAcentral is "partial 16S ribosomal RNA". It matches the Rfam family "Bacterial small subunit ribosomal RNA", at positions 338 to 524 of the family's 1533-position model. The record is from RNAcentral.
CCUACGGGAGGCAGCAGUCGGGAAUAUUGCGCAAUGGAGGAAACUCUGACGCAGUGACGCCGCGUGCAGGAAGAAGGUUUUCGGAUUGUAAACUGCUUUAGACAGGGAAGAUACAAGACAGUACCUGUAGAAUAAUCUCCGGCUAACUACGUGCCAGCAGCCGCGGUAAU